This 220-nucleotide unclassified non-coding RNA is filed under the name uncultured Tomentella. RNAcentral's name for it is "partial internal transcribed spacer 2". The record is from RNAcentral. Lineage: Eukaryota; Fungi; Basidiomycota; Agaricomycetes; Thelephorales; Thelephoraceae.
ACACCUCAACUCUCGCGGUUCGCCGUGAUGAGCUUGGACUUUGGGGGUCUUGCUGGCCUGCGGUCGGCUCCUCUCAAACGAAUCAGCUUGCCAGUGUUUGGUGGCAUCACGGGUGUGAUAACUAUCUACGCUUGUGGUUUUCCACCAGGUAUAACCUUCAGCAAUGGAGGUUCGCUGGGGCUCACAAACGUCUCUCCUCGGUGAGGACAGCUUCUUGAAC